GAUGAACGCUGGCGGCGUGCCUAAUACAUGCAAGUCGAGCGGUAAGGCUUUCACUCUGUAUUUAAUGAGUUGAAUAUAGUGUGAAAGUACACGAGCGGCGGACGGCUGAGUAACGCGUAGGAACGUACCCCAAAGUGAGGGAUAAGCACCGGAAACGGUGUCUAAUACCGCAUGUGAUCUUCGGAUUAAAGCUUUAUGCGCUUUGGGAGCGGCCUGCGUAAGAUUAGUUUGUUGGUGAGGUAAUGGCUCACCAAGACUACGAUCUUUAGCUGGUCUGAGAGGAUGAUCAGCCAGACUGGGACUGAGACACGGCCCAGACUCCUACGGGAGGCAGCAGUAGGGAAUUUUCCACAAUGGACGAAAGUCUGAUGGAGCAACGCCGCGUGCAGGAUGAAGGCCUUCGGGUGUAAACUGCUUUAUCUGUGACGAUUAUGACGGUAGCAGAUGAAUAAGGAUACGGCUAACUCCGUGCCAGCAGCCGCGGUAAUC
Molecule: ribosomal RNA, 489 nt
Filed under: uncultured bacterium
Lineage: Bacteria
Description: bacterial SSU rRNA
Rfam family: Bacterial small subunit ribosomal RNA
Source: RNAcentral